CACUCCUGCGGGAGGCAGCAGUGGGGAAUUUUGGACAAUGGGCGAAAGCCUGAUCCAGCAAUGCCGCGUGCAGGAUGAAGGCCUUCGGGUUGUAAACUGCUUUUGUACGGAACGAAAAAGCUCCUUCUAAUACAGGGGGCCCAUGACGGUACCGUAAGAAUAAGCACCGGCUAACUACGUGCCAGCAGCCGCGGUAAUACGUAGGGUGCGAGCGUUAAUCGGAAUUACUGGGCGUAAAGCGUGCGCAGGCGGUUAUGUAAGACAGAUGUGAAAUCCCCGGGCUCAACCUGGGAACUGCAUUUGUGACUGCAUGGCUAGAGUACGGUAGAGGGGGAUGGAAUUCCGCGUGUAGCAGUGAAAUGCGUAGAUAUGCGGAGGAACACCGAUGGCGAAGGCAAUCCCCUGGACCUGUACUGACGCUCAUGCACGAAAGCGUGGGGAGCAAACAGGAUUAGAUACCCCAGUAGUCCCAUGA
Molecule: ribosomal RNA, 475 nt
Filed under: uncultured organism
Description: partial 16S ribosomal RNA
Rfam family: Bacterial small subunit ribosomal RNA
Source: RNAcentral